This 22-nucleotide microRNA is filed under the name Danio rerio (zebrafish). RNAcentral's name for it is "dre-miR-200c-5p". Its record names the gene dre-miR-200c-5p. RNAcentral also lists the same sequence under 1 other name. Lineage: Eukaryota; Metazoa; Chordata; Actinopteri; Cypriniformes; Danionidae. The record is from miRBase by way of RNAcentral.
CAUCUUACAAGGCAGUUUUGGA